Pseudopipra pipra is the source of this 291-nucleotide long non-coding RNA. RefSeq lists it as uncharacterized. The transcript is spliced from 3 exons. The record is from RefSeq and is a predicted model, not a curated record. NCBI's taxonomy places the organism in Eukaryota, Metazoa, Chordata, Aves, Passeriformes, Pipridae.
CUGAAUAACUGGAAUUCACAGGCACUUCAGCUGAACUCUGUCACUCUCAUACAAAAUCUCUGUUUUUUUUCUCAGGCCUCCUGUGAGUGUGCCAUACAGUGAAUCCCAUGUCUUCAGAAGGUUAUGGCCACACCAUGCAAAGCAUCUGCAAAAUCCUGACUUCUGAGAUAACCCGAAAACCUAUGGAGUUGGGAGCUUCAGUUGGUUUUCUUUAACCUUUGGCAGCAUUACAUGUGUGUCUCCUAAUUUAUGUCCAUUCUCCUCAUAAAAUAAAAAAAAAAAAAAACAAAA